RNAcentral lists this long non-coding RNA (1104 nucleotides) under Olea europaea subsp. europaea. The record is from RNAcentral. Lineage: Eukaryota; Viridiplantae; Streptophyta; Magnoliopsida; Lamiales; Oleaceae.
CGAAAUUAAAUUCCUCCUAAACAACUUCACUAAACCCUAUAAGGAACCACAACUCUGCCUUGAUUUCAAAUUAGAAAGUUGCUCCACAAUGCUAAUGGAAGACAAUGUAAUUGUUGAAGAAGCAUUAUUUGAAAUAUUGGAAGAGGGACCACAAACAGGUAAGCUUGCACCAAAUCAAUUGAUUUUGUAAUUUUCUGCUAUUAUGGACAUAAAAUAUUUGCAUUUUGUAGUUACUGAACCUCUUUACUGUACUCUAGUGUAGAAAGUCCAAAAUUUAGGGCAACUCUUUUUCAUAUACAUUUUUCCACGGCAUAUGAACAAAUUUAUGCACUUAUAUAUUCAUGUAUUUUAUCUAUAUUGGAAGAGUUAUUAUAAAACAUCUGAUUUUAGUUUUUUCCAAUGCAGCCAAUACACUUGAGGAUGAAGAAUUGAUACCUUUUGAAUACCAAUUGAUUGAGUAAGAUCAUGAUGUAAAUGAUCAUAAUUUUCAGUAUAACAAGAAUGCACCGAAACAUCUUAAGGUAGGGCUAAAUGCAGAUCCUACAAUCCAGUUUGAGAUGACUGUUGGUGAAGGAGAGUUUUGAUCAGAUGAUGCUUCAACCACCAUUUGAUUUCCAAUUCAUGCGAACCCCUUGAAUUGAUUUAGCGGUGGUUGCACAAUUGAACAACAAUGGCCCUCCACCUGUGUAGUUGCAAACUAAAAGUAGUCCACUUGAAUCCUUGAUGAAAGAGCUACAAAAUAUAGAGAAUCAAGAAAAAGCAAGAAAGAGGACAGCCAUGAUAAAAAAUAAAAGGGUCGUUCAAGGGACAGUUCCAUAUGCACUACCAAGAACGAAGAAAAAUCCAGCAUCUCAGUAGCAACUCAGCAAAAUUCACAAGCCACUUAUUCAUUUAGAUACUGGUUUGACAAUCGUGAAGUAAUUUUAUCAUUGAAGAUAUUUAUAGUAUUAUGUUUCUUUUUGCGUAAAAUUGCUAGAAAUAUUUGAAAGUUGUAAGUUUAGAUUAAUGUGCCUAUGGUGCUUCAUGUGCUUUUGCUAUCAGACAUCAUCAUUUUCUGAAAGGCAUGAUCCUUUUGUGUAUUACACGAUCCUUUUGCUAUCAAAC